RNAcentral lists this ribosomal RNA (253 nucleotides) under uncultured bacterium. RNAcentral's name for it is "partial 16S ribosomal RNA". It matches the Rfam family "Bacterial small subunit ribosomal RNA", at positions 524 to 776 of the family's 1533-position model. The record is from RNAcentral.
UACAGAGGUGGCAAGCGUUGUUCGGAAUUACUGGGCGUAAAGGGCGCGUAGGCGGCCUUUUAAGUCGGACGUGAAAGCCCCAGGCUUAACCUGGGAACUGCGUCCGAUACUGGGAGGCUUGGAUUCGGGAGAGGGAUGUGGAAUUCCAGGUGUAGCGGUGAAAUGCGUAGAUAUCUGGAGGAACACCGGUGGCGAAGGCGGCAUCCUGGACCGAGAUCGACGCUGAGGCGCGAAAGCUAGGGGAGCAAACGGG